GUUGGGCUUCAAACCCCUGUUACCUCAGUUCAAAAACUUGCCGGCUUAUUGAACCUUCAAAAAACCACCUUGCCGGGUGGUUUUUUCGU
Molecule: non-coding RNA, 89 nt
Filed under: uncultured Erwinia sp.
Lineage: Bacteria; Pseudomonadati; Pseudomonadota; Gammaproteobacteria; Enterobacterales; Erwiniaceae
Source: RNAcentral